This 1069-nucleotide ribosomal RNA is filed under the name Chelifer cancroides. RNAcentral describes it as "eukaryotic LSU rRNA". It matches the Rfam family "Eukaryotic large subunit ribosomal RNA", at positions 82 to 910 of the family's 3401-position model. Lineage: Eukaryota; Metazoa; Arthropoda; Arachnida; Pseudoscorpiones; Cheliferidae. The record is from RNAcentral.
AGUAACGGCGAGCGAACGGGGAAGAGUCCAUAGCCGAAUCUCCCGCUUAACGGCGCGGGAAAUGUGGCGUAGGGGAGUCGGCACUCUCUGAGUGCGACCGGCGGUGCAAGUCCCCGUGAGAGGGGCUCGCUACCCGGAGCGGGUGCUAGGCCCGUACCGCCGCCGGUCGUCGCGCGGAGUCGCCGGCGUCCCGGGAGUCGGGUUGCUUGGGAGUGCAGCCCAAAGUGGGUGGUAAACUCCACCUAAGACUAAAUAUGCCCGAGAGACCGAUAGCGAACAAGUACCGUGAGGGAAAGUUGAAAAGCACUUUGAAGAGAGAGUUCAAGAGCACGUGAAACCGUUCAGAGGUAAACGGGUGGGGCCUCGAAGUCCUAAGGCGGUGGCGCACUCAGGUCGGUACGACGGCAGUCCGAGGUAGUCGAGCUCCACGAGAGGAGCGCCUACGGGGACGGUGCCGCGGUAGCGUGCCGCACUUGCGCCCCCGCCCAUCGGGGCGUCGCGACCGGUUGGGGGGCCGUCACAAGGCGGAGCGCGCAAGGUAGCCCGUUUCGGCUCGUCCGAAGACGGGUGUUAUAGGCGGCUCGACGCCCGGCGGGUCUCCCGACCGGGGAGAGGGGUUCUUACCCCGGCGUUCUCUCCGCAGGAGCGGUAUCGUCCGCGGGGCAAGUUCUCGCGCGCUGUGCCACCUCGAAGGUGAGCGGCGCGGAGAUUGGGCCCGACGCGGGCGGUCAUCGCGGGGAGCCGGGGGUCGGCGGCGAGUAGGUCGGUUACCCACCCGACCCGUCUUGAAACACGGACCGAGGAGUCUAGAGCGCGCGCGAGUUCCCGGGACUUGAUCAGGCCCGAGGGCGCAAUGAAAGUGAAGGGCGUUUCGGACGCCUCAGUUGGGAUCCCGCGUCCUCCGGGGCCGGGCGCACCAACGGCCCGUCCGAGCCGGUUUCGGCUGGGCGGAGCAAGAGCGCGCGCUCUGGGACCCGAAAGAUGGUGAACUAUGCCCGGACAGGACGAAGCCAGAGGAAACUCUGGUGGAGGUCCGUAGCGGUUCUGACGUGCAAAUCGAUCGUCGGAU